UACGUAGGGUGCGAGCGUUAAUCGGGAUUACUGGGCGUAAAGCGUGAGCAGGCGGUUCGGCAAGUCCGUUGUGAAAGCCCCGGGCUCAACCCGGGGAGGCCAAUGGAUACUGCCGGACUUGAAUACGGGAGAGGUUACUGGAAUUCCUGGUGUAGCGGUGAAAUGCGUAGAUAUCAGGAGGAACACCGAAGGCGAAAGCAGGUAACUGGACCGUUAUUGACGCUGAGUCACGAAAGCCGGGGGAGCAAACAGG
RNAcentral lists this ribosomal RNA (253 nucleotides) under uncultured prokaryote. RNAcentral describes it as "partial 16S ribosomal RNA". It matches the Rfam family "Bacterial small subunit ribosomal RNA", at positions 524 to 776 of the family's 1533-position model. The record is from RNAcentral.